UACAGAGGGUGCAAGCGUUGUUCGGAAUUAUUGGGCGUAAAGGGUGCGUAGGUGGGCAGGUAAGUCAGUGGUGAAAUCUCUGGGCUUAACCCGGAAACUGCCGUUGAUACUAUCUGUCUUGAAUAUAGUGGAGGUGAGCGGAAUAUGUCAUGUAGCGGUGAAAUGCUUAGAUAUGACAUAGAACAUCGAUUGCGAAGGCAGCUCGCUACACUAUGAUUGACACUGAGGCACGAAAGCGUGGGGAUCAAACAGG
Molecule: ribosomal RNA, 253 nt
Filed under: uncultured bacterium
Lineage: Bacteria
Description: partial 16S ribosomal RNA
Rfam family: Bacterial small subunit ribosomal RNA
Source: RNAcentral